CUUUAAGAAUCCUAUUUGAAAAAGCUACAAUGUUAAAAAUUCAAGUCAAUGUUAAAAUGUUAAAAAUUUUUUGGUGGCAGUUGGUAGUCGUAAAAGAUUCGAAUCGUCAUGACUUCCCAACUCAAUUAAUUAAACUCCAUCUAAAUGCGGAAUAGAGUCGUAUAUAGAUACUGGAACAUUUAGAUAUGCAGUUUUAUCUUUAGAACUAUUGUCAGUGAAUCUGCAAGUUGAAAAAAAGAUAUUGUAUAUCUUACACGAGAUAAUGUUAGUUGCAUCGUGCACUGUGGACUGUGUCCUCUUACGGCACGUGGGAAAAAUACUAUCAAAUGUACUGUGCGAUCUGUAGGUCACUAUAACCUCAAAAGUUGCAUUAUGCAUAAUCAAUCUGUGAGAAGUACUCUUUGAGCGUAGUGUAGCUUUAAGAUAUAAUUGAUUGAAAUCUCAUUUACGGUUACCACUGCCAGAAUGGCAAUAAUGAAAAUAUUGUUAAGGCCAAACAUCACGAGGUUCACAGGAGUUCGACACUUGAGUUCUAAGCCAAAAUUUGGUUUACUUUUUGACAUUGAUGGUGUAAUAGUACGUGGAAAAAAUGUAUUACCUCCUGUGCCCGAGGCUUUUAAGCGACUUCAAGGAAAAGAUGGCAAAUUUCGUGUACCCACUGUAUUUGUCACUAAUAGUGGAAAUGCUCUACGCAGUCAAAAAGCAUUAGAUUUAUCCAAAUGGAUAGGAUAUGAAGUCAAAGAGUCUCAAGUAAUUAUGGCCCACUCACCAUUAAAAUUGUUUGAUCAUUUUCAUGACAAACAAGUACUAAUAUCUGGGCAAGGUCCAAUCAAAGAAAUAGCUAAGGAACUAGGUUUUCAAAAAACAGUAACCAUACAAGAAUUAGUUAAAAAUUUUCCAUCCUUAGAUUAUGUAAAUAUGAAAAAGAGAAAUCCGCAAUGUGGACCAAUAGAUCCAAACUUUCCCACUAUAGAAGGCAUUGUGUUAUUUAGUGAACCAACUUCUUGGGAAACUCCAUUACAAUUGAUGGUGGAUCUUUUAAUGACUAAUGGCAUGCCAGGUGGUUUGCUCAGUGAACUUCCUUAUCCACACAUUCCAGUCUUGGCAUGUAAUAUGGAUUUAUUAUGGGUGUCUGAAGCACCUAUCCCUAGAUAUGGUCAUGGUGCUUUCCUGCUCUGUCUCGAAUCCUUGUAUAAGAAAAUUACAGGAAAAGACUUAAUAUACUCUGCUCUAGUCGGAAAACCUAGUGAAAUCACUUACUAUCAUGCAAGUUAUAUGCUCCGUGAGCAUGCUAGAAGUAUUGGAAUAGAUCAUAACGUUGAUACAAUAUAUGCUAUUGGAGAUAACAUUAACACUGAUAUCUUCGGUGCAAAUUUGUACGAUAAAUAUCUAUCGCGUUGCACACAGGAAGAAGUAUUAAAGUCUGACAAAAUAAAAAAGCUGCUUGGGAAGGACGUCAAACCGCCUACUUCAAAAGCUUGUAUCAGUAUUCUAGUGGAAACUGGUGUUCAUCAGCGAGAUUCAAAUUUUAUAUCGGAACAUAGUCCUAGAGAUUUCAUACCAGUUGAAGACAGUUUAUGCAAGCCUGCAUUCAUAGUGAAACACGUCGGUGAAGCUAUUAAUCUUGCGUUUAAAGAAGAAAAAUUUGACUGAACAAAUAGAUUGAAGAUUCUUUUAGACUUGGAAUGUUCACAUUCUAAUGGUUAAGCAAGGAGAAGUAAAAAAUUGUAGAUUUAACUUUGCUAAUCAAGUAUUACGUUAUUUUCUUUAUUUAAAGGUAAAAUCAGUAAGAAGAAAUGAGAUAGGAUUGCAUGAGCAUAUUUAUUUUGCUUUUUUUUUCUACAUAUUUUUAUUUGAUCAAUUGAACUGAAUUCAUUAUUAUAAAUCAGUGAUAUACACAGCAUAGUAAUCGGCAGAAAUAUUAGAUACAAUUAUAAUGAAUUUUAUGUAUAUUUAAAAUUUCAUUAAUUUAUAUUAUAUAAGCAUAGUGUUUAGUGAACUAUUCAGAUAUAGCAUUACAUGUACAUAUGUACACUGGCAAGCCUAGUAGGCUUCCCUAGGAUAAAUGACAAUUAGAGAGAAGAGGCCUCGCCACUCGUUAAUUUUAAAAAUUUGGAAAUUUCUCUAUUUAGAACUGUUAGAAAUAUGAAAAUCUGGGAACUUACAAAUUUGGAAAUUUGAAAGUUUCAGAAAAUUUAAGCAGUAGGAUAUUCCUCCCUCUAUACUUGCCUCUAUGGAAAGGAAGUCUACAUGCCUCGCAGUGUACGCAUGCGAUAUAAAAAGAUACAUAUACACACACACACAUACUUGUACAUGUAUAUAGUAUCUGUAUAUGCCAGACAAUUUGUAAUCUACUUUUACCAUAUUUUAAUUGAUUUGUUAAUGAAUUUUAAUGUCUGAUUUAUAGUGUUUCAGAGUGAUUUUAUCAUACCGUGAUAUUAAUUCAUAUUUAUCAGUGAAAAACAAAAAAUCUUAUAUAGAUAGCGAAGCACGUAUCGUGUUUUAUUUAGUCAAAAAAAAUCUAUCGAUGCACUCGCUGUAUUAGCGCAUUAUUUAAGACUUUUGGUUUAGUAUCUCUCAUUGAAUACUGCUGUUUGGAUACUAAACUUCAUCUAGUCUCAACGAACAAUUUUAUCGUUAUGUACAUACCAAAUUAUAGCAGUAGCAAUCUGUAAUUCCUGUUAGUUUGAAAUGUGUAAAGCAUCAGCUAAGCCAUUCGUGUCAAUGAUCAUGUAACAAUACAAAUGUCCUAAUAUACAGCAAACGAGCUCUUAGAAAAAACAAAAGCGCACAUUGUACAAGAGUACUACGAUUCAACUGACUGUAGUUAGCUGGAGACAACAACAAAUGCACACUACAAAGAAGAAAAAACAUUGAGACCUGUGUCGAGGACGAAGACUGACCAUCUACGUCCAUAACUUGUUUUAAUUUUACAAGAAAUCAAAGUGAGGACAGGGAUAGUCAUUGCUCGACUUUCAUACUCUGUAGGAUAGUAUUCUGCAGAGUCAGAAAUGUUAUAGGUACUUUGAAAAGACUAAUAACGCUGUCUAAAACAGAAUGUCAUCGAACGAGAACUUAUAAGGAUUCAGUGAACGGUUGGUUGUACUCCAGGUUUCUUUUAGAGCGCAGAGAGUUCCUGAAUGUCCUAUUUGAACCUUAGAUGACUAAGAAGUGAACUCUAUCUUGACAGAGCGUCUGAGUCUCAC
Unclassified non-coding RNA from Megachile rotundata (alfalfa leafcutting bee), 3206 nucleotides. The record is from RefSeq and is a predicted model, not a curated record. NCBI's taxonomy places the organism in Eukaryota, Metazoa, Arthropoda, Insecta, Hymenoptera, Megachilidae.